Molecule: long non-coding RNA, 405 nt
Filed under: Zea mays
Lineage: Eukaryota; Viridiplantae; Streptophyta; Magnoliopsida; Poales; Poaceae
Description: long non-coding RNA NONZMAT003185
Source: RNAcentral
GCCUACUCCGUGUGCAGCGACAUACGUGCGGCCGGGCAGAUGAGUGGGGCAUUGGCAGCCUGCAAACUGGAUCGGGAAGAGACAAAAAAAAGUUAGGCUCGGGAUGCAUGAUGCAUGCCCGACUUGAUUACCCGAGGACGCCUUAACCCAACCGGCCAACCUUGGUACGGACGGACACGGACGUAUGCUGCUCGUUCUACUAUUAUUACAAUAUGAAUAUCGCGGUUCUUGGCAAUGGCCAGCAACGUACGGUGAUUCUUCGUCGUGUCUCUAGAGAUCAAUACAGUCCAGCAGCCGGACCUCCGCAUUGAAGCUGGCUAGACAGCCUAGACUUGCUACAGAGUACGGAGGCACCCGACCAGCGUUCGGCGCCGCUUCCGCCGCCCCAAGGCCGGACCGCGGCCG